AGUGAACGCUGGCGGCAGGCCUAACACAUGCAAGUCGAACGGCAGCACAGGGGAGCUUGCUCCCUGGGUGGCGAGUGGCGGACGGGUGAGGAAUACGUCGGAAUCUGCCUAUUUGUGGGGGAUAACGUAGGGAAACUUACGCUAAUACCGCAUACGACCUACGGGUGAAAGCGGAGGACCUUCGGGCUUCGCGCAGAUAGAUGAGCCGACGUCGGAUUAGCUAGUUGGCGGGGUAAAGGCCCACCAAGGCGACGAUCCGUAGCUGGUCUGAGAGGAUGAUCAGCCACACUGGAACUGAGACACGGUCCAGACUCCUACGGGAGGCUG
This 327-nucleotide ribosomal RNA is filed under the name uncultured Pseudomonadota bacterium. RNAcentral's name for it is "bacterial SSU rRNA". It matches the Rfam family "Bacterial small subunit ribosomal RNA", at positions 29 to 351 of the family's 1533-position model. The record is from RNAcentral. Lineage: Bacteria; Pseudomonadati; Pseudomonadota.